RNAcentral lists this long non-coding RNA (215 nucleotides) under Vitis vinifera (wine grape). RNAcentral describes it as "long non-coding RNA (VVIN_LNC006569)". The record is from RNAcentral. Lineage: Eukaryota; Viridiplantae; Streptophyta; Magnoliopsida; Vitales; Vitaceae.
AUGUCAGUUCAGUUUCUGGGACCGCACCUAUACGAUUGGUCAUUAUCGUGUCAGUUUGAGUCGAGACCGCACCUAUACGAUCCGUCAUCUCUUUGUCAUGUCAGUUCAGUUUCUGGGACCGUACCUAUACGAUCGGUCAUUAUCGUGUCAGUUUGAGUCGAGACCGCACCUAUACGAUCGGUCAUCUCUUUGUCAUGUCAGUUCAGUUUCUGGGA